GAACAGAUAGGAUCUUAUGGGUGAUUUUUUUUUCUUUACUAUAGAUGAUCUCGAACUAAAGAAUUCUCUCUCGUACUAUGAAUUCUCUCUCGUACUUUUAGGACCUGUAUCAAUUUAUAGGAGAUGUUCUGCUUUGCGCUGACGCUAGCACAAAUUUUGUUGUUCUUUUCUUAGUAGAAGGUAUAUAGUGAUCCAUUCGCCAAUCGCCAUGCAUCCAUCGUCUUUUUAUGCAGAAGUCCACGCAAUAUCUUGGUAGAGAGGACAACAUGACCGAUAGAUCACCAAUGUAGGAGCCCUCUAGUGUACGCGAAACAUCCAAAUUUCGCAACUUGCAAUGAAGAAAUUUGCAUAGACGUUUUGUGGCUUAUCUGUGCCGGCUUCUACCAAUUGAACUUGCACCUUAAACUUCUCCAAGGCCGGGCGUUACCCCCAAC
This 434-nucleotide long non-coding RNA is filed under the name Setaria viridis. Its description in RNAcentral is "long non-coding RNA (SVIR_LNC004211)". Lineage: Eukaryota; Viridiplantae; Streptophyta; Magnoliopsida; Poales; Poaceae. The record is from RNAcentral.